CCUACGGGGGGCAGCAGUGGGGAAUAUUGCACAAUGGGCGAAAGCCUGAUGCAGCAACGCCGCGUGAAGGCAGAAGGGUUUCGGCUCGUAAACUUCUAUCAACAGGGACGAUAGUAAUGACGGUACCUGAAUAAGCAGCCCCGGCUAACUACGUGCCAGCCGCCGCGGGAAUAAGUAGGGCGAAAGCGUUAACCGGAAUUACUGGGUGUAAAGGGUGAGUCGGAGGCAUGGUAAGCCAGAUGUGAAAGCCUUGGGCUUAACCCGAGGAUUGCAUUUGAAACUAUCAAGCUAGAGUACAGGAGAGGAAAGCGGAAUUCCUAGUGUAGCGGUGAAAUGCGUAGAUAUUAGGAAGAAUACCAGUGGCGAAGGCGGCCUGCUGGAACGAAACUGACGCUGAGGCACGAAAGCGUGGGGAGCGAACAGGAUUAGAUACCCGGGUAGUC
This 443-nucleotide ribosomal RNA is filed under the name uncultured bacterium. RNAcentral describes it as "partial 16S ribosomal RNA". It matches the Rfam family "Bacterial small subunit ribosomal RNA", at positions 338 to 795 of the family's 1533-position model. The record is from RNAcentral.